GAUGAAGAACGUAGCGAAAUGCGAUAGGUAAUGUGAAUUGCAGAAUUCAGUGAAUCAUCGAAUCUUUGAACGCACCUUGCGCUCCUUGGUAUUCCGAGGAGCAUGCCUGUUUGAGUGUCAUUAAUAUAUCAACCUUCUCUUUUUUGAGUUGUUUGGAUGUGGGGGUUUGCUGGCCUCUUAAAUGAUUCAGCUCCCCUGAAAUGCAUUAGCAGAACAACCUGUUCAUUAGCGUGAUAAUUAUCUAUGCUAUUGAAUGUGAGGGCAGUUCAGCUUUCUAACCGUCCUUGGACAAUUCAUCAUUAAUGUGACCUCAAAUCAGGUAGGACUACCCGCUGAACUUAAGCAUAUCAAUAAGCGGAGGA
This 362-nucleotide unclassified non-coding RNA is filed under the name soil metagenome. Its description in RNAcentral is "partial contains 5.8S ribosomal RNA, internal transcribed spacer 2, and large subunit ribosomal RNA". The stretch from base 1 to 120 matches the Rfam family "5.8S ribosomal RNA", at positions 35 to 154 of the family's 154-position model. The record is from RNAcentral.